GACGAACGCUGGCGGCGUGCCUAAUACAUGCAAGUCGAACGAACUCUGGUAUUGAUUGGUGCUUGCAUCAUGAUUUACAUUUGAGUGAGUGGCGAACUGGUGAGUAACACGUGGGAAACCUGCCCAGAAGCGGGGGAUAACACCUGGAAACAGAUGCUAAUACCGCAUAACAACUUGGACCGCAUGGUCCGAGCUUGAAAGAUGGCUUCGGCUAUCACUUUUGGAUGGUCCCGCGGCGUAUUAGCUAGAUGGUGGGGUAACGGCUCACCAUGGCAAUGAUACGUAGCCGACCUGAGAGGGUAAUCGGCCACAUUGGGACUGAGACACGGCCCAAACUCCUACGGGAGGCAGCAGUAGGGAAUCUUCCACAAUGGACGAAAGUCUGAUGGAGCAACGCCGCGUGAGUGAAGAAGGGUUUCGGCUCGUAAAACUCUGUUGUUAAAGAAGAACAUAUCUGAGAGUAACUGUUCAGGUAUUGACGGUAUUUAACCAGAAAGCCACGGCUAACUACGUGCCAGCAGCCGCGGUAAUACGUAGGUGGCAAGCGUUGUCCGGAUUUAUUGGGCGUAAAGCGAGCGCAGGCGGUUUUUUAAGUCUGAUGUGAAAGCCUUCGGCUCAACCGAAGAAGUGCAUCGGAAACUGGGAAACUUGAGUGCAGAAGAGGACAGUGGAACUCCAUGUGUAGCGGUGAAAUGCGUAGAUAUAUGGAAGAACACCAGUGGCGAAGGCGGCUGUCUGGUCUGUAACUGACGCUGAGGCUCGAAAGUAUGGGUAGCAAACAGGAUUAGAUACCCUGGUAGUCCAUACCGUAAACGAUGAAUGCUAAGUGUUGGAGGGUUUCCGCCCUUCAGUGCUGCAGCUAACGCAUUAAGCAUUCCGCCUGGGGAGUACGGCCGCAAGGCUGAAACUCAAAGGAAUUGACGGGGGCCCGCACAAGCGGUGGAGCAUGUGGUUUAAUUCGAAGCUACGCGAAGAACCUUACCAGGUCUUGACAUACUAUGCAAAUCUAAGAGAUUAGACGUUCCCUUCGGGGACAUGGAUACAGGUGGUGCAUGGUUGUCGUCAGCUCGUGUCGUGAGAUGUUGGGUUAAGUCCCGCAACGAGCGCAACCCUUAUUAUCAGUUGCCAGCAUUAAGUUGGGCACUCUGGUGGGACUGCCGGUGACAAACCGGAGGAAGGUGGGGAUGACGUCAAAUCAUCAUGCCCCUUAUGACCUGGGCUACACACGUGCUACAAUGGAUGGUACAACGAGUUGCGAACUCGCGAGAGUAAGCUAAUCUCUUAAAGCCAUUCUCAGUUCGGAUUGUAGGCUGCAACUCGCCUACAUGAAGUCGGAAUCGCUAGUAAUCGCGGAUCAGCAUGCCGCGGUGAAUACGUUCCCGGGCCUUGUACACACCGCCCGUCACACCAUGAGAGUUUGUAACACCCAAAGUCGGUGGGGUAACCUUUUAGGAACCAGCCGCCUAAGGUGGGACAGAUGAUUAGGGUG
This 1489-nucleotide ribosomal RNA is filed under the name Lactiplantibacillus argentoratensis. RNAcentral describes it as "bacterial SSU rRNA". It matches the Rfam family "Bacterial small subunit ribosomal RNA". Lineage: Bacteria; Bacillati; Bacillota; Bacilli; Lactobacillales; Lactobacillaceae. The record is from RNAcentral.